GACGAACGCUGGCGGCGUGCUCAACACAUGCAAGUCGAACGGAAAGGCCCUGCUUUUGUGGGUUGCUCCAUUGGCGAACGGGUGAUUAACACGUGAGUAACCUGCCCUUGACUUUGGUAUAACUUCAGGUAACUGGGGCUAAUACCGGAUAGGAGCUCCUCCUGCAUGGUCGGGGUCGGAAUGUUUCGGCGGUUUGGGAUGGACUCGCGGCUUAUCAGCUUUUUGGUGGGGUAGUGUCUUACCAAGGCUUUGAGGGGUUGCCGGCAUGCGCGUGUGACCGGCAACAUCAGGGCUGAGAUACGGCCCAGACUCCUACGGGAGGCAGCAGUGGGGAAUAUUGCACAAUGGGCGGAGGCCUGAUGCAGCAACGCCGCGUGCGGGAUAUCGGCCUGCGGGUUGUAAACCGCUUUCGCCUGUGACAAGGCGUGAGUGACGGUAAUUGGUAAAGAAGCACCGGCUAACUACGUG
RNAcentral lists this ribosomal RNA (468 nucleotides) under uncultured bacterium. RNAcentral's name for it is "partial 16S ribosomal RNA". It matches the Rfam family "Bacterial small subunit ribosomal RNA", at positions 28 to 507 of the family's 1533-position model. The record is from RNAcentral.